Rattus norvegicus (Norway rat) is the source of this 1947-nucleotide long non-coding RNA. RefSeq lists it as uncharacterized. The record is from RefSeq and is a predicted model, not a curated record. Lineage: Eukaryota; Metazoa; Chordata; Mammalia; Rodentia; Muridae.
UGUCUGACAGAUGUGAGACCAGCUGCAAGUCAUUCAGUUAUUAACACUGACUCUAACACUACUCCCUGUGUACAGUGCCCGCUUGUAUCUCAGACUGAGACCAUGCACUGGGUCACAUGUCUAAACAUAAGAUAAACCACACCUUCCUCCAAAAUGCACGAUGGGAGAUGAGCCUUAUUCUGCCAGAUAGUUUAAAUGUCAACUCGCUACAGCCUAAGAUUAUUUGGAAAGAACUUUAAUUCAGGAAUUGAGGAAUUGCCUAGAUCAUGCUAGAUUGUGGGCAUUUCUGGGGUUGGGGUGGGGUCUUUAUUGUUAACUGAUAUACCCAGUCCAUUAUGGGCGGCACCAUUCCCUGUGCUGGUAGCCCUAAAGUGUAUAAGUGAAAAGAGUUAGCUGAGCACAGGAAACCUAGCAGGCAGUAGAGAUGUGUCCAUUUCUCUACUCUUGACUAACUACCUGCUCUGAGUUCCUGCCUUAACUCCCCUCAACUGAAAGACUGUUCCCUGAGACUGUAAGCCAAAUAAGCUCUUUUCUCUUCUAGGCUGCUUUUGGUUUAUCGUAACAAUGUAAGUAAAACUAGACACACACCUUCCUCCAAAAUACCUGUUAGGUCCUAGAAAGAGCAGACUCUUCUCUCCAUCCACCAAGAAUGGGAGCAUCAAGAGAUUCAGUGGUUACAAGGAACUUCCUAAGCAUCUCUGCCAGAGGCCAGAAGAGCCCUGCAAUGCUGCGCGAAACUCAGAUCCAGGGAGCAAGAGACACAGAGGCCACCCCAUGGUACUUUGAAAAACUGAGGCAAAGUACACAUGGGACGUGGGCUUCCUUGUCUCAUCCUCUGUCCGCCCGCUGAGAACAAGGUUGUUUUGAAUGUUCUUAAGAGAUGGAUGUGUACCCACCUCCCCUCUGAGGGAAGAAGAAGCAGAACCUGGGACCGACCAGUAGCUGUGGCAGAAGAGGUCAGGCCUGCCAGUCAAGGACAGACGGUGUCCCAGGCAGAGGUUGUGAAGCCUGAGUAGGACCUAGGAGCCUCCUGCCCGAGCCCUAGGCCAGAGAGAACAGUGAGUAGAGGCCACAGUGGCUCCCGUGUCCUCCCAGACACUUUCCCGAUAAGCCAGAAAUUGCACAAACUUAGCCGUCUCAGAAUCUGAGGGCAGACACUUGCAGCAUCGCGGCAAACAUCGGGAACAGCAGUGUGCAUAGCUGCAUCAGAUCUGAGAACAUUUUACUCUCAGAGAGUCACACCGCGCAGGAUCUAAUGAUUCCAGCUGAGGCAGCACACGGAGGUGUCAGCAGCACAGUGACGUUGAGAGGCAGGGAAAGCUGAUCGUUAAAAAUAGGUGAAGCUGAGCCAAAAAACUUGAAAAAAGAAACAAAACAUUAUAGUUCAUACUGGAGAGAAACCUACUAGUGGAUCUGAAGUUGGGGUUUUAGAAGCGUGUGUGAUGCUGAUAACGAUGAGUUGUCCCACUGAGAGCUCUCUAAACUCCACGAAAAUGUGUUCGGUGGCCUACUGUGGCCUACAGGCAGAACCAUGUUUUCAUGAGUAGUUUUACUGGGAGCCACCACUCUCCUCUGUUUGCCUCUAUCUGUAGCAGCCUUCCCUCCAUGGCAUUGGUUGCGUGGCCCUUUCCAGACGUGCUCCCUGACUCAUUUACCAAAUAAAAUUUGAAUUAUCCUAUAAAUACUUGUACAGAAAAUUUGACCGAUGGAAUUAGAGAUGACUCUGUUGGUAAAGUGCUCAUGGUGCAAGCAUGAGGACCAGAGUUCGAAUCCCUACACCUACGUAAAAGCCAGGUGAAUUGAUACUUACUUCUGUGGUCCCAGUCCUGGGGAAGGAGACAGUCGGGUCUUGGAGUUUACUAGCCAGCUAGCCUAGCCAACAAAUCAGUUCCAAGUUCAGUGAGAACCCCUACUAAAGAGGAAAGCAAUGGAGAAAGGUGCCUGACU